CUUGACAAAUGGAAAUUCUUUAAAAAAAAAAAUUUAUCCCAAAAUUUCAAUCCACUUUAAUUUUUUUUCCCUGGCAAUUCAUCCACGUUAACUAACCAUGAUCUCCAUAAACUUUGCAGUUUGUCUCUAUCUUCUCUAUUAUCAAAUAAGCAAAACAACAUACCCUUUCAUCUCUUUAAGUUUCAAUUUGAUCUCCACAAUUUCUUUCAUAUCUAUUUUUUUUUCUACACCAAUUUGAAAAUUUUAUCUCUUUUUCUGAUUUCUGUUUAAUACUUAAAAGUUCAUCAUGAACAAUUUUUUUAGAUUGAUACGGUGGGUUGUGGCGUUUGAGUUUAAAGUCACGUCGGGAAGAGAUAGAAAUUGGUAAGGUGAUGUUGGAGAUAUUGAGAGAAGCGAGAACCUUAAAGAUUUUCUGCAGGGUAUGCAGAAUUUGUAGGUAUUAAGGGUGGUGUGUGUAAUGAGUUCAUAUGAACUUUUUUAGCAAAAACGGAGUAAAAGGGUUAAUAGCAUGCCUCUUCUGAAUAUAGUGGCAGUAAAGGUAGCUUGGAUCAAAGAAAAAGGUCCUACUCUAUGGUAUGUCAAUCAUCUACUUAAUUCAUGGGGUCCAUGGGGCUUAAGCCUUAUGGUAUCAUCCUUUUUACCGAGCUACCAGAUAAUUACAACGCUGUAUAAAAAAGGUAUAUGUUGUAACUUGCUAAGGAGAUACAUGGGUUAAUAAUAUAAUGUGUACACGUACCUGUACAGAACUAAUAUAUAGUGCGCAAGUUUGGAGCAUCUUUAUGUUUGUUUGAAUUAAUUUGUAAGUCUAAUCGACUACAUGGAGACCUCAAGCCAAAACUUUGUGGUUCAAACUAAACUAAAUUUGUAAUUUUAAUCUUAAAUUUCAACAAACUAUCAAAAGAAGUAA
This is a long non-coding RNA of Raphanus sativus (radish), 907 nucleotides long. RefSeq lists it as uncharacterized. The transcript has 3 exons. The record is from RefSeq and is a predicted model, not a curated record. NCBI's taxonomy places the organism in Eukaryota, Viridiplantae, Streptophyta, Magnoliopsida, Brassicales, Brassicaceae.